GGAUAAUCUGCCCUCAGGUGAGGAAUAAUCCCGGGAAACUGGGGCUAAUGCCUCAUAGGAGACGGGUGCUGGAAUGCUCUGUCUCCGAAAGGUCCGCCGCCUGAGGAUGAGUCUGCGUCCGAUUAGGUUGUUGUUGGGGUAACGGCCCAACAAGCCUUUGAUCGGUACGGGUUGUGGGAGCAAGAGCCCGGAGAUGGAUUCUGAGACAUGAAUCCAGGCCCUACGGGGCGCAGCAGGCGCGAAAACUUUACAAUGCGAGCAAUCGUGAUAAGGAAACCCUGAGUGCCUGUCAAUGCAGGCUGUUCUGGUGUCUAACACACACCAGGAGAAAGGGCGGGGCAAGACCGGUGCCAGCCGCCGCGGUAAUACCGGCUGCUCGAGUGAUAGCCACUUUUACUGGGCUUAAAGCGUUCGUAGCUUGGUCGUUAAGUCUCUGGGGAAAUCUUUUGGCUCAACCAAAAGGCGUCUCAGGGAAACUGACGAUCUUGGAACCGGGAGAGGUAAGACGUACUUCGGGGGUAGGAGUGAAAUCUUGUAAUCCCCGAGGGACGACCGAUGGCGAAGGCAUCUUACCAGAACGGCUUCGACAGUGAGGGACGAAAGCUGGGGGAGCAAACCGGAUUAGAUACCCGGGUAGUCCCAGCCGUAAACGAUGUGCGUUAGGUGUGUCAGUGACCACGAGUCGCUGAGGUGCCGAAGGGAAACCGAGAAACGCACCGCCUGGGAAGUACGGUCGCAAGGCUGAAACU
Molecule: ribosomal RNA, 749 nt
Filed under: uncultured Methanocalculus sp.
Lineage: Archaea; Methanobacteriati; Methanobacteriota; Methanomicrobia; Methanomicrobiales; Methanocalculaceae
Description: bacterial SSU rRNA
Rfam family: Archaeal small subunit ribosomal RNA
Source: RNAcentral